RNAcentral lists this ribosomal RNA (447 nucleotides) under uncultured bacterium. Its description in RNAcentral is "partial 16S ribosomal RNA". It matches the Rfam family "Bacterial small subunit ribosomal RNA", at positions 328 to 792 of the family's 1533-position model. The record is from RNAcentral.
GGUCCAGACUCCUACGGGAGGCAGCAGUGGGGAAUAUUGCACAAUGGGGGGAACCCUGAUACAGCGACGCCGCGUGGGUGAAGGAGCACCUCGGUGCGUAAAGCCCUAUCGGCAGGGAAGAAACAGACGGUACCUGACUAAGAAGCACCGGCUAACUCCGUGCCAGCAGCCGCGGUAAUACGGAGGGUGCAAGCGUUAUCCGGAUUUACUGGGUGUAAAGGGGGCGCAGACGGCGAUGCAAGCCAGGAGUGAAAGCCCGGGGCCCAACCCCGGGACUGCUCUUGGAACUGCGUGGCUGGAGUGCAGGAGGGGCAGGCGGAAUUCCUGGUGUAGCGGUGAAAUGCGUAGAUAUCAGGAGGAACACCGGUGGCGAAGGCGGCCUUCUGGACUGCAACUGACGUUGAGGCCCGAAAGCGUGGGGAGCAAACAGGAUUAGAUACCCCUGUA